UACGGAGGUGGCAAGCGUUGCUCGGAAUCACUGGGCGUAAAGGGCGCGUAGGCGGGGAGGUAAGUCGGGUGUGAAAUCCCUCGGCCCAACCGAGGAACUGCGCCCGAGACUGCUUCUCUUGAGUCCCGGAGAGGAAGAUGGAAUUCCCGGUGUAGCGGUGAAAUGUGUAGAGAUCGGGAGGAACACCGGUGGCGAAGGCGGUCUUCUGGACGGUGACUGACGCUGAGGCGCGAAAGUGUGGGGAGCGAACAGG
Molecule: ribosomal RNA, 253 nt
Filed under: uncultured bacterium
Lineage: Bacteria
Description: partial 16S ribosomal RNA
Rfam family: Bacterial small subunit ribosomal RNA
Source: RNAcentral